RNAcentral lists this non-coding RNA (29 nucleotides) under Cricetulus griseus (Chinese hamster). Lineage: Eukaryota; Metazoa; Chordata; Mammalia; Rodentia; Cricetidae. The record is from RNAcentral.
CAAAAGAGUUCAGUUGGUGGCGUCACAGU